UGAACGGCGGCCGUAACUAUAACGGUCCUAAGGUAGCGAAAUUCCUUGUCAGGUAAGUUCUGACCCGCAUGAAAGGCGUAAUGAUUUGGGCACUGUCUCAACAGCCCGCCCGGCGAAAUUGUAGUACCGGUGAAGAUGCCGGUUACCCGCGACAAGACGGAAAGACCCCAUGGAGCUUUACUGUAGCCUAAUAUUGGGUUUCGAUGUUGCAUGCACAGGAUAGAUGGGACUCUUGGAAACCAAGGCUUUGGCUUUGGCGGAGAGGCCGUUGGGAUACCAUCCUUGCGAUAUUGGAAUUCUAACCUGCGGCUCUGAAUCGAGUCGGGGGACAUUGUUAGGUGGGCAGUUUGACUGGGGCGGUCGCCUCCUAAAGAGUAACGGAGGCGUUCAAAGGUUCGCUCAGCUUGAACGGAAAUCAAGCAAAAGAGUGCAAACGCAGAAGCGAGCCUAACUGCGAGACUGACGGGUCGAGCAGUAACGAAAGUUGGAGUUAGUGAUCCGGUGGUAUGUGAGUGGAAAUGCCAUCGCUCAACGGAUAAAAGUUACCCUGGGGAUAACAGGCUGAUCUCCCCCAAGAGUCCACAUCGACGGGGAGGUUUGGCACCUCGAUGUCGGCUCAUCGCAUCCUGGGGCUGUAUUCGGUCCCAAGGGUUUGGCUGUUCGCCAAUUAAAGCGGUACGCGAGCUGGGUUCAGAACGUCGUGAGACAGUUCGGUCCCUAUCUGUCGUGGGCGCAGGAUAUUUGAUGGGAGCUGUCCCUAGUACGAGAGGACCGGGACGGACGUACCUCUGGCGCACCAGUUGUUCCGCCAGGAGCAUAGCUGGGCAACUACGUACGGAUCGGAUAAACGCUGAAAGCAUCUAAGCGUGAAGCCGACCCAAAGAUAAGAUAUCCCACUGAUUCAAUCAGGUAAGAUCCCUUGUAGACUACGAGGUUGAUAGGCACGAUGUGUAAGUGGAGUGAUCCAUUCAGCAAGUGUGUACUAAUAGAUCGAGGGCUUGACCAC
This 1006-nucleotide ribosomal RNA is filed under the name human gut metagenome. RNAcentral's name for it is "bacterial LSU rRNA". It matches the Rfam family "Bacterial large subunit ribosomal RNA", at positions 1924 to 2925 of the family's 2925-position model. The record is from RNAcentral.